UGGAACAUUAACCGAGCUCGGUGGAGAAAAGAGGGGAGACAGGGAGAGGGGAGAGCCAUGAAGACCACCGGCUCACCAAUUCGACUCAAUGGUACUCACCUUGAAAAAAAACCAUGUAACUAAAGAAAAGUAACUCCCUCUCCCUAGUCAAAUCCGCUCUGUACCGACAGUUUCUCAAGGAGGUUCAUCACUUAGUGUGAAAUACCUGUGGAUUUUUUUUUUUUUUUGUAAGAAGAAACACAAGAAUUGGGAUAAAACAGAACAGCUGUCAACAGAAGAUGCGCGCCAGCGACUAGACGCACCGACAAUGACCGACGUUCAAGAGCAAGAGUUCCCCUCGGCGGAAAUACACAUUUUAACAAUUUAACGUCACUUUGGAAAAGGUCACAGGCUCAGUCCAAGUUUGAAGAAUUGUUUUUUUCCCCCUCUUUUUUUCCAUUCAAGAAGGAUGAGUGGAGGUCGCUUUGAGUUCGAUGACGGCGGCGCGUACUGCGGCGGUUGGGAAGGCGGCAAAGCGCACGGCCACGGCAUCUGCACGGGUCCGAAGGGUCAAGGCGAGUUCUCCGGCUCCUGGAAUUACGGUUUCGAGGUGGUCGGGGUGUACACCUGGCCCAGCGGAAACACGUACGAGGGCUACUGGGCUCAAGGCAAGCGCCAUGGCCUGGGCGUCGAAACUAAAGGCCACUGGGUGUACAAGGGCGAGUGGACGCACGGCUUCAAAGGCAGGUACGGCACGCGCGUGAGCCUGGGCAGCGGCGCCAAAUACGAGGGCACGUGGAAUAACGGCCUGCAGGACGGCUACGGCACCGAGACCUACGCGGAUGGCGGCACCUUCCAAGGCCAGUUUACCGGUGGAAUGCGACAUGGAUAUGGUGUGCGUCAGAGCGUUCCAUAUGGUAUGGCCGCUGUGGUGCGCUCUCCUUUGCGCAACUCGCUAACCUCACUGCGUAGCGAGCAAAGCAAUGGCACACUGCUGCAGCAGGAUGUUCCCAUCAUCACCACCACAAAUGCGUCAGGCCAGGAGACUGUGGUCACCCCAUCCAUGCCUACGGGGCCUUCACGUGGUGGCUUUGCCCUCAGCCUACAUGGUGACCCUGAACUUGCCAAGCCAAAGAAGCGGGGCCUUUUCCGGCGCGGCUCGCUGCUGGGCAAGCUGACCAAGUCAGAAUCCCGCACAUCCCUCUCCAGCCAGAAGAGCAAGAUCAGCUUCCUGCGCAGCGAGUCGGCCCUCAGUUCAGCGACUAGUGAUGCCAACUCCACCAUCAGCAUGGGUGACAGUGAAGCAGAGGGCGAAGGCCACGAGUUCCCACCUGUCGAGUCUGACAUUGACGCCACCACUACCGAGGUUUACAUGGGAGAGUGGAAGAAUGAUAAGCGGUCAGGCUAUGGCAUCAGUGAGCGCUCCAGUGGCCUCAAGUAUGAGGGCGAGUGGCUGGACAACCAGCGGCAUGGCUAUGGCUGCACUACCUUCGCUGAGGGUGGUAAAGAGGAGGGCAAGUAUGUACACAACGUGCUGGUGAAGGCUGUGCGAAAGAAGGUGAUUCAGCUGAAGGGCACCAAGGUCAAGCAGAAAGUGGAAAGGAGUGUCGAGGGAGCACAAAGGGCUGCUGCCAUUGCCAAACAGAAAGCAGAAAUUGCAAGCUCAAGAACUUCCCAUGCCAAGAGCAAAGGAGAGGCUGCUGAACAAGCCGCUCAAGCGUCCAACAACGAGUCCAGCAUUGCACGUGUAGUGGCCAGAGAACUCUCGCCUUCAUUCUAUCAGCCAGGCCCAGAAUACCUAAAGAAGCGAGCACUACAAGAAAUUGCUGAGAGCAAUGAGAACGCUGAAACAGGCAUGCAUGAGUCACUGCUGGCUGAGGAGAUCAUGCCUCCAGAGAGCCCCUUCAUGCACGAAAUGGAAGGCCUGAAGCCCAACAUUAGUCCAGCACGCACACCAUCACCUGGACCUACCACCUCUGCUGCUCUAGAUCCUAACCUCCUUGGUCCUGGUAGCUGGAAUGGGGACAGAAGCAGUCGAGGUGGCGGUAGUGGCAGCAGAGGGGGAAGCCGCCCAGGGAGCAGACAGAGCAGUCGUCCUUCAACUCCAUCAGCCAAUUCAGCUCAAACACCAGCUUCAGCGCCAAGCAAGGAGGAGCCUGGGGUCCCCAGCACAAAGGGUCCAUCCCAAUCCCCCAGCCGCCAAAACGCCAAAGCUGAGCAGGGCUCUGACCUUGAGAUUAAGCCUCUACAGAAGAUGGACUUAGAGUCCAAAGCAGCAGAACCUGCUCCAGCUCCUGUAAGGACCAGCCUCAUCUCCUCUACUGAUGAAGAAGAACCACCUCCUCCUGCCUCCAAAGUGCCCUCCAAAGCGGCGACCCCAGAACACAAAGCUCCCGAGCAGAGAGCUGAGGCCAGGGAACCUGCAACAGAGCACCCAGCAUCAAUGACUGAGAGUAAGCGGGAGGCCAAGGAAGACAGAAAAGUGGCUAACAAAGUUGAAGCUAAGCAAUCUAUGAAACGAGAGCCUAGUCCGGCUCCGAGACGAGAACCAAGCCCGGCUCCGAGGCGAGAACCAAGCCCGGCUCCGAGACGAGAACCAAGCCCGGCUCCAAGACGAGAACCAAGCCCGGCUCCAAGACGAGACCGUAGCCCGGCUCCAAGACACGAACCAAGCCAAGCUCCAAGACGAGACCGCAGCCCGGCUCCAAGACGAGACCGUAGCCCAGCUCCAACACGAGACCGCAGCCCAGCUCCAAGACGAGAUCGUAGCCCGGUUCCAAGACGAGACCCUAGCCCGGCCCUGAGAAAAGAAUCUAGCCCAACUACUAGACGAGAUCCUAGCCCAGCUCCUAAAGCUGUGUCUAAGCCUGAACCCAAGGUUGUGCCUAAACCAGAGCCCAAAGCUAUCGCCAAACCAGUCGCUAAGCCUGCUCCCAAAGUGGACCCCAAAGCUGAGCUGAGACAGAGGGCUUUGGUGAAAACCCCUGAUGAAGUGACUGGAAUCACAGCACCAGAAGAGGGCCCAAAUACGAUUAUGAUCUGCAUGGUCAUUCUGCUCAAUAUCGGUCUGGCCAUUGUUUUUGUUCACAUCCUGUCCUGAUGGAAAGAUAUCCAAGUUUUUGAAAACUGGGGUGCCCAAGUGGUGCAACAGGGGUCCAGUAAAGCAUAAUUUCCCAUGCUCUCUGGUUGGGAAAGAUGGCGUUACUCUCUCCAAACAACAGAACAACACUAACCAUUCAUGGAAGUCUGAGAGCUCAUAAUCUUUUUUUUUCUUCAAACCAAGAACAUCUAUAUUGAAGAAAGAAGAGAGAGGAGCUGUGAUGGAUGCCACAUGCUUCCCUUGAGGCUUCACUGAUGUGAUACAGUCUCAAUAAAGCCCUCUCGAGCCACUUGAAGGACAGUUACUAUGUAUAGUUGGAUUGAAGGAUGACAUACAGUGAAAGUUUCUGUGUCUGAAUGGUGGAGAGAGCUUUGCUCUCUUAGGAUGGAAAGCAUUUAUCUGUAUUGUGCUGCUUUAAAGAACGAUUCUUCCCAAAUGAACAGUGCCAUUUACUUAAAAGGGUGAAUAUAUUUUAUGCAAAUCAAGCAUUGAUGUCAAGCUUACCUGGUUUACCACUGAUUAUCAAUCAAAGCCAUAGUUUCAGAUCAGUCUGAGAUCACGUGAAUUUAAAGAAGGAAAAAAUCUACUAAUUGGCCAAAAAAAAUGUUUUGUGCUUAUUACCACCUGACAAAUGUGUUGAAACUACUUUAUUAAUGUGCAAUAAUGCACACUCAAUAAGAUGUCUUAAAGUCUCACAAUAAGGCCUUUUCCUUCAGUCUCUAAUGCAGUCUUCUAAUACAUGACACAUACAAACUUUUUUCAAACCUCAUGAUAAAAAAAAUGGAUUCUGCAAUAAAUCUUUGACUAUUACAAUAUAAGCCUAAGUAUAAGAACAAAGCAAAGGUCAAGAAUUUCAUUUCAUGUGAGGAGCUGUGUGUCAUAUGGUUUUGCCUGAUGUUCCUCAGAAGGUUUUUCUUUCUGAAUAUAACAUCCCACUUCCAUUUACAGUGUCUGAAAUUUUACAAAAAUUAGCAAAAACAAAGUUGUUUAGCUAAAGAAACAUUGUACUGUGAACAUGUUUGUGCUUGCAAAUUUAAUUUUUGAAAGUACCAUUUGCAGAAACUAAAGUGGUGACGUUUGAGUACUCAAACAAAACUGGUUUUGUAUGCAUGUAUGUUAAGGGUUUUUCUACCUUUCUAAAAUUGUGACGUUACAUUACAGCAACAUGUGCAUUUGCAAAUAUUGUAGAGUCACCUUAGAACAGGGGUGGCAAUCUGCAGAGGGCCAGCGUGGCUGCAAGCCUUCAUUUCCAGCCAGUCAGGAUCUACAGCUGUUCCCACUUGAUAAAUCAGUUGAUUGUGGAUCAUGGAGCGUGAACCUGCAGUCACGCUGGCCCUUUGCGGAUAGGAUUGGACGUCCCUGCCUUAAAAUAUUGCAAACAUAUGUUUUGAUUAAUGUCUCCCUAUUAGAAAAGUAAUUAUUACCUCAGACUUUGCAUUGAAGAAUUGGUUUGCACCAUGAUGAUAGUCUUUGCCCAAAUAUUUUAUUUUAUUUUGAGAUUUUAUUUGGACAUAAACAGUAAUCAUGGAUCCUAAAGCCUUCAUCUAGGUCUUUGACCCAUUACCGAAGGAUAUGAAGAGAAAUUAGUGAGUUACAUGUAAUUGCUCUGAAACAGCAUUCAUCUGUUUUGGCUUGUAACCGUUUGCACUGGAGUGGUUUGAUAUGGCAGUGUUUUACAAUGCAAAUUUGCCAAUGUAUUUUAUUCUCAUCAGAGUGCCACCCACAAAUGUCCAUGUUAUGAAUAAAAAAAAAAGUCAAAGAUGUUAUUUAUUCAUAGGUUUGUUUUCAUAUGAAUGCAUUAAUUCAUGCUUUCACUGGCCAAAUAGUGCACACAUUCAGAAUCUGGAUUUCUCAAUAUGACUUCCAAAAUGUUCAUCCCAUGUAGAUGAUUUAAUUAACGCAUACUUGUGUUUGCACCUUGGAAAGGAAUUAAAUCACAGCACUCAAAAUGCCAAGUAUAAAUGUAUUGUGCUGAGCAGUACCACUGAAUGCAAAUAAAUCUAUUUUUCAACUGUAA
This is an RNA transcript of Pangasianodon hypophthalmus (striped catfish), 5096 nucleotides long. It is a transcript of the gene named junctophilin 2, with no coding region annotated. The transcript is spliced from 7 exons. The record is from RefSeq and is a predicted model, not a curated record. NCBI's taxonomy places the organism in Eukaryota, Metazoa, Chordata, Actinopteri, Siluriformes, Pangasiidae.